CGAACGGGUGAGUAACACGUGGGUAAUCUGCCCUCGGCACUGGGAUAGCCCGGGGAAACCCGGAUUAAUACCGGAUGGCCUUUCGAGCUCUCGGGCUCGUGAGAAAAGGUGGCUUCGGCUUCCGGCUGAGGAUGAGCCCGCGGCGGAUUAGCUUGUUGGUGGGGUAAUGGCCCACCAAGGCGACGAUCCGUAGCUGGUCUGAGAGGACGAUCAGCCACACUGGGACUGAGACACGGCCCAGACUCCUACGGGAGGCAGCAGUAGGGAAUCUUGCGCAAUGGGCGAAAGCCUGACGCAGCGACGCCGCGUGCGGGAAGAAGGCCUUCGGGUUGUAAACCGCUUUCAGGAGGGACGAAGCCACUCGGGCUAAUACCCCAGAGGGUGACGGUACCUCCAGAAGAAGCCCCGGCUAACUACGUGCCAGCCGCCGCGG
RNAcentral lists this ribosomal RNA (433 nucleotides) under uncultured bacterium. Its description in RNAcentral is "bacterial SSU rRNA". It matches the Rfam family "Bacterial small subunit ribosomal RNA", at positions 99 to 520 of the family's 1533-position model. The record is from RNAcentral.